This 354-nucleotide ribosomal RNA is filed under the name Salmonella enterica subsp. enterica serovar Kentucky. RNAcentral describes it as "partial 23S ribosomal RNA". It matches the Rfam family "Bacterial large subunit ribosomal RNA", at positions 2577 to 2925 of the family's 2925-position model. The record is from RNAcentral. Lineage: Bacteria; Pseudomonadati; Pseudomonadota; Gammaproteobacteria; Enterobacterales; Enterobacteriaceae.
CUGUUCGCCAUUUAAAGUGGUACGCGAGCUGGGUUUAGAACGUCGUGAGACAGUUCGGUCCCUAUCUGCCGUGGGCGUUGGAAGAUUGAAGGGGGCUGCUCCUAGUACGAGAGGACCGGAGUGGACGAACCUCUGGUGUUCGGGUUGUGUCGCCAGACGCAUUGCCCGGUAGCUAAGUUCGGAAUCGAUAACCGCUGAAAGCAUCUAAGCGGGAAGCGAGCCCUGAGAUGAGUCUUCCCUGAUACUUUAAGUAUCCUAAAGGGUUGUUCGAGACUAGAACGUUGAUAGGCAGGGUGUGUAAGCGUUGUGAGGCGUUGAGCUAACCUGUACUAAUUGCCCGUGAGGCUUAACCAU